ACCGUAGUUUACUACACCGUAUUCUGUGAGUUGCGAACGGGUGAGUAACGCGUAGGUAACCUGCCUGGUAGCGGGGGAUAACUAUUGGAAACGAUAGCUAAUACCGCAUAAGAACAUGUACUGCAUGGUAGAUGUUUAAAAGGUGCAAAUGCAUCACUACCAGAUGGACCUGCGUUGUAUUAGCUAGUAGGUGAGGUAACGGCUCACCUAGGCGACGAUACAUAGCCGACCUGAGAGGGUGAUCGGCCACACUGGGACUGAGACACGGCCCAGACUCCUACGGGAGGCAGCAGUAGGGAAUCUUCGGCAAUGGGGGGAACCCUGACCGAGCAACGCCGCGUGAGUGAAGAAGGUUUUCGGAUCGUAAAGCUCUGUUGUUAAGGAAGAACGAGUGUGAGAAUGGAAAGUUCAUACUGUGACGGUACUUAACCAGAAAGGGACGGCUAACUACGUGCCAGCAGCCGCGGUAAUACGUAGGUCCCGAGCGUUGUCCGGAUUUAUUGGGCGUAAAGCGAGCGCAGGCGGUUAGAUAAGUCUGAAGUUAAAGGCAGUGGCUCAACCAUUGUAGGCUUUGGAAACUGUUUAACUUGAGUGCAGAAGGGGAGAGUGGAAUUCCAUGUGUAGCGGUGAAAUGCGUAGAUAUAUGGAGGAACACCGGUGGCGAAAGCGGCUCUCUGGUCUGUAACUGACGCUGAGGCUCGAAAGCGUGGGGAGCGAACAGGAUUAGAUACCCUGGUAGUCCACGCCGUAAACGAUGAGUGCUAGGUGUUAGGUCCUUUCCGGGACUUAGUGCCGCAGCUAACGCAUUAAGCACUCCGCCUGGGGAGUACGA
RNAcentral lists this ribosomal RNA (832 nucleotides) under uncultured Streptococcus sp. RNAcentral describes it as "bacterial SSU rRNA". It matches the Rfam family "Bacterial small subunit ribosomal RNA", at positions 66 to 885 of the family's 1533-position model. Lineage: Bacteria; Bacillati; Bacillota; Bacilli; Lactobacillales; Streptococcaceae. The record is from RNAcentral.